UUUACGGAGAGUUUGAUCCUGGCUCAGGACGAACGCUGGCGGCGUGCCUAAUACAUGCAAGUCGAACGAGGACCAGGUGCUUGCACCUGGAACCGAGUGGCGAACGGGUGAGUAACACGUGACCAACCUGCCGUCAGGUGGGGGACAACCUGGGGAAACCCGGGCUAAUACCGCAUGAUAUCCGCGUCCCGCAUGGGAUGCGGACCAAAGGGGGCCUCUGCUUGCAAGCUCCCGCCAGGCGAGGGGGUCGCGGCGUAUCAGCUUGUUGGUGAGGUAACGGCUCACCAAGGCGAUGACGCGUAGUGGGUCUGAGAGGACGACCCGCCACAUUGGGACUGAGAUACGGCCCAGACUCCUACGGGAGGCAGCAGUAGGGAAUAUUGCGCAAUGGCCGCAAGGCUGACGCAGCGACGCCGCGUGUGGGAGGGAGCCCUUCGGGGUGUAAACCACUGUCAGGGGGGAAGAACUUCGUGGGCGUGAACAGCGUUCGCGGUUGACGGUACCCCCAGAGGAAGCGCCGGCUAACUCCGUGCCAGCAGCCGCGGUAAGACGGAGGGCGCAAGCGUUGUUCGGAAUCACUGGGCGUAAAGCGCUCGCAGGCGGUCCCUUAAGUCCGCCGUGAAACUCCGGGGCUCAACCCCGGACUGGCGACGGAUACUGGGGGACUGGAGACUGGUAGAGGCUAGCGGAAUUCUUGGUGUAGCGGUGGAAUGCGUAGAUAUCAGGAAGAACACCGGUGGCGAAGGCGGCUAGCUGGGCCAGUUCUGACGCUCAUGAGCGAAAGCGUGGGGAGCAAACAGGAUUAGAUACCCUGGUAGUCCACGCCGUAA
This 830-nucleotide ribosomal RNA is filed under the name Gammaproteobacteria bacterium. RNAcentral describes it as "bacterial SSU rRNA". It matches the Rfam family "Bacterial small subunit ribosomal RNA", at positions 1 to 805 of the family's 1533-position model. Lineage: Bacteria; Pseudomonadati; Pseudomonadota; Gammaproteobacteria. The record is from RNAcentral.